AGGGCGCACAGUCAGUGGGGGUAGACGCGAAACCAAGUGAUCUACACUUGGCCAGGAUGAAGUCCCGGUAACACGGGAUGGAGGUCCGCACCAAUAAGCGUUGAAAAGCUUCUGGAUGAGCCGAGUGUAGGAGUGAAAGGCCAAUCAAACUUGGAGAUAGCUCGUACUCCCCGAAAGGCAUUUAGGUGCCGCGUCGGAUGGUCACCGUGAGAGGUAGAGCGACCGAUAGGACAAGAGGGCUUCACCGCCUAUCGAGUCCUGACGAACUCCGAAUGCUCACGGUUUGCAGUCCGGCAGUAAGGGGGCGGGUGCUAAGGUCCGUCCCCGAGAGGAGAAGAAUCCAGACCGCCGUCUAAGGUCCCGGAGUUCUGCCUGAGUUAGUCUAACGAAGUCUGGUCCCUAUGACAGCUAGGAUGUUGGCUUGGAAGCAGCCAUUCAUUCAAAGAGUGCGUAACAGCUCACUAGUCGAGGGUCCGGGCAUGGAUAAUAAUCGGGUAUAAGGCAGACACCGAAGGCGCGGGAUAGCAAUUAUAAAAGUAUCGGUAGGGGAGCAUACUCACAGCGUCGAAUGGUGUACGUAAGUUAUCCUGGAGCGGUGAGUAAAGCAAAUGUAGGAAUAAGUAACGAUAAGGAGGGUUAGAUUCCCUCCCGCUGUAAGACCAAGGUUUCCCGGGCAAUGCCAAUCAGCCCGGGGUCAGUCGGGUCCUAAGUCUAAGCCGAACGGCGAUGGCGAUGGCAGAGACGGUUAAUAUUCCGUCACUGCCGCAUGGGGCGACGUGGAGACGGAGCAGUGAAACCACCGCGGGGCGACGGAAGUCCCCGUUGAAGAGUGUAGGCGUUGAGGAUGGCAGGCAAAUCCACCAUCCGAGCUGAACUUGACAGUACGGAGUCCUCCUCGGAGGAAUCUGAUAGUGUGGGUAAUCAUACUCCCGAGAAAAUCCGCUAAGCUUAACCCAUGCGGCACCCGUACCGCAAACGGACACACGUGGUCGGGUAGAACAUACUAAGGCGUUGAGAGAUUCAUGGUUAAGGAACUAGGCAAAUUGACCCUGUAACUUCGGGAUAAAGGGUCCUCGUGAUGAGCGAGGCGCAGAGAAUAGGUCCAGGCAACUGUUUAACAAAAACACAGGGCUGUGCAAACUCGAAAGAUGACGUAUACAGCCUGACACCUGCCCGGUGCCGGAAGGUUAAGAGGAGAUGUCACUAGCAAUAGGAAGCAUUGAAUUGAAGCCCCGGUAAACGGCGGCCGUAACUAUAACGGUCCUAAGGUAGCGAAAUUCCUUGUCGGGU
This 1290-nucleotide ribosomal RNA is filed under the name human gut metagenome. RNAcentral describes it as "bacterial LSU rRNA". It matches the Rfam family "Bacterial large subunit ribosomal RNA", at positions 689 to 1977 of the family's 2925-position model. The record is from RNAcentral.